AUCCAGCAGGAUUCCACUUCAUGUGGUGUGUUCAUUUGCAAGCUUGCAGAGCAAAUACUGCUCAAAGAAAAGGUCCAGUACCCAGUGGACCUGGAAGGAGUGGCCUCAAUGAGGUUCCAGAUGGCAAUGGCUCUUGUGAAAAACUCAGAUGACCUAUCCCAGCUGUGUCGGGCCUGUGGGGAACGUAACUCAGGGCCUAAGGUUGACCAAUGGGUAAGAAGUUGUAUUAAUUUCCAGACCAACAUUUGUCUGGAAGACUGGGAUACA
This is a long non-coding RNA of Trematomus bernacchii (emerald rockcod), 267 nucleotides long. RefSeq lists it as uncharacterized. The record is from RefSeq and is a predicted model, not a curated record. Lineage: Eukaryota; Metazoa; Chordata; Actinopteri; Perciformes; Nototheniidae. The transcript has 3 exons.